Molecule: ribosomal RNA, 236 nt
Filed under: uncultured bacterium
Lineage: Bacteria
Description: partial 16S ribosomal RNA
Rfam family: Bacterial small subunit ribosomal RNA
Source: RNAcentral
GACGUAGGGCGCGAGCGUUGUCCGGAUUUAUUGGGCGUAAAGAGCUCGUAGGCGGCUUGUCGCGUCGACUGUGAAAAACCCGAGGCUCAACCUCGGGCCCUGCAGUGGGUACGGGCAGACUAGAGUGCGGUAGGGGAGAAUGGAAUUCCUGGUGUAGCGGUGGAAUGCGCAGAGUAUCAGGAGGAACACCGAUGGCGAAGGGCAAUCCCCUGGGCCUGCACUGACGCUCAUGCACG